This 1102-nucleotide long non-coding RNA is filed under the name Heterocephalus glaber (naked mole-rat). RNAcentral describes it as "lncRNA (ENSHGLG00100047245.1)". Lineage: Eukaryota; Metazoa; Chordata; Mammalia; Rodentia; Bathyergidae. The record is from RNAcentral.
GAAUUUGGUGCAAACACCCAGAGGUUCGCACCGCAGCUCUGGAGCUCAGAGCUGGCCGCGCCGCGCUGUCCAGGGAAGCCUGGACAGCGUAGCCAGCUUCCUCCCUGGAAGACCAGGACAAGGGUGCAGGUUCGGAGUCCUUCACAGGAGGCUCGGACAGCAGGAACAUCCCGGGGCAGCAGCAGCAGCCAGAGGAACCCAGCCCGCCAGUCCUUGUCCUUCCGCCUCGGCCACCCGGACACACUGCCCAGGACCUGCCCCACGCCCUCCUCCGGACCUGCCUGGGCUGGACGACUCACUUUCCCAUGGCACACCUUCUACUCCAGCUGGAUGUGGGCAAGAGGGCUGAGGCAGGAGCCACCCAGAUCCCAGCUUGGGUCAGUGUUUGGCUCCUUUGGGGUGCAGACAGCUCCUGGGGUUGCCUGCAGGUCCCCCUGAGGCCUCCAGUCACAUCCACAGGGUCCAGACUUGGCUCAAACCCCUGUGGCCACCCCUGACCUGCUGCGCCUCCUGGGUCACCCCAGCAUCUUGCCCCCCCAACCUCAGUAACUCUGUAUGCAAGGCCUCAGUUUACCCAGGGGCCUGCCAGCUAGUUCUUCUUCCCCUUCACCCCCAUUCCCAUGGGCCAGGCGGAAACGGCUCCCCUCUAGCUCUGUGUCCUUCAGGGCCUGAAAAGUCGCCUCUUCCCAGUAACCAGCCUGGGAGUCAUCGAGGUCCUCAGAGCCCAGGGGUGUCCCUGGGUCACCCCAGCUUGGGCCUAGGCCUGUGCCCAGGAUGCCGAGGGCCACUCCGCUCUCUAACCCUUGGGCUCAGGGACACCCGGCAGGGCUGGCAGUGCUGGGCCUGCUCCCAGGCCUGGCCCGGCUCUUCAAACUUGGCUUCUCUGAGGAAGGGUGCCAGCCCCUCUCCCACGUCAUAGAGCUGGAGCGGGGCAGUCGGGUCAGUGCUGGCUCAGGCAUGGUGGCAGGAAAGGCCCAGAGCCCACGGCCUGUGCCAGGAGGGGGGUCCCUGCGCCCGCAUGUUUACGUGGGCACCCCUUAUCUUAUAUGUAACAGCAAUAUAUAUGUUAAUUGAAAACUUCUGAAUUUAAAAAGGUUGUGAC